AUCAUGAUAGCCUCAUCAUGCAACGUAACUUCGGUGGGACAGGAAAGAGUCGAAGCUACGAGUAUGGAGAUGGAUACGGAAAGAACAACAAACCCAGGAGGAGGUGCAUGCAUACCCAAUCUCUGUAGUUAAAAUGCCCAGCUGGAUCCCUGCUUCACAUCCCCAUAAUACUUGUUAUAUAUUCUUGUAAUAUUUAAAGUAGCUUGCAGUUAACAUUAAGGAUUCUUGAACUCUAUCGACAUUGGAGGCUUAAAUCUUUUUAUAACUAGACAAUAAGCUUAAUCUCUGUAUAACUAUUGAGACGUGGAAUCUAAAUCUAGUUGAAGAAGCUCAAAAGAUGACAGUAUAAACUAGUUGACUUAAUUCCUACCAUUUCAAUGUCUACUUUUGUUCUUUUCAGAACGAAGAUGAAGCUCAAAAGGCCUACCAAGACUCACUUCAUAUACCUAACCUGAGUGAGAAGUGACAUCGAAAUUGACCACAGUUGAGGACUCCUUCUGAUCUAUUUCCUUGGCCUCCCACGUUUCAACGUGCAAUUCAAAAGCCUAUCCAUUUGAGGAACUUUAACAUCACUAAGCAGCCGACGUGUGAGCUGUCUGUGGCCUAUGGUGCAACCGGAAAUCCUUCCUCUUUUAUCUGUAAAAUUGUAAUUGGACAGCAAUUUGAUCACUUGAUUUCCUAUAUUUAUAGUUUAAAAAUAUUAGCUAGUUUUACUGUAUUUGCAGCAAAAUGAAAGAAUCAAAUCAAUCCCAGAGAUGCGGAAUCAGCAUACGUAAUUGACACAGUAUCUUAAAACAGACAGUAACUUCAACUUAAACACACUUUAACAACAGUGAAUGAGAAGAAACUCGUGUCUUUACUUCAAAUUUCAAAAAACCAACAAAAAAACAUCUUGAUAAACAAUUGAAAUGAUUGUGAACCUCUAACUAAGUGGCAUUCUGUAAAGUGCCAUAAAGAAUAGAGAAUCGCAUCAAAGGGAGGAGAAGAAAGAAUAGACCAUUGUGCAUUCUGCUGAAUAGAAGGUAUGUGCAACUACUUAACUAGCAACUAUAAAAACCAGCAUUCUCUAAAGAUGUUCAUCACUAUUAAAAGUGUUUUGGGUUAGCAUUUUCAUAGCCCAGUAAUCUCAUCAAGAUGUCGAUCCAUGAUCUGAGAGAGUGUCUCCAGAAAUGCAGCUUCACUUGUGCCAGGAAGCACGGAAUCCUGUGCCUCUUGGACCAUUUGCUCAAUUGGAGAUUCCUCCUUCAAAUUCUCCCUGCACAUUAUACUUCCAAUCGCAUGGGGAGUGAACCCUCUCUCUGCACCCUUUUUGAGGAGCAUGGUGGAGAUGCGGAGAGUGCGUGCGCACUCUGGUGGCAUAUCCCAUCCAAGGAAUUUCAAAAGGGAAAUAUCUUCUUCAGCAUCCAAUGAUUUUAUAUAUUCAAGUGUCUCAGGUGAGUAGGAUUGACGAGCUUGAGGCCAAUACAGCCAGUCAAAUGUGCAAUCUUCAAACUAUGGAAACAUAAAACUUGAUUAGUGUUUAAGCUUCAAGACACAGCAAAGACGAUAUGAGAAAAAUACAGAAAACACCCAAAAACAGAGAAAAAAAAAAGAGACAGAAUUUGAGCUUUUGAAUGAAUGAAACAAAAAUGACAGUUUAAUGAUACACUCAUAAACUCUAUACAAGAUGGAAACCCCCCCCCCCCCCCCCCCAAGAAAAUACAGAAUUUGAGCUUUUGAAUGAAUGAAACAAAAAUGACAAAGUUUAAUGAUACACUCAUAAACUGUAUACAAGAUGGAAAUCCCCCCCCCCUCCCCCCAAGAAAAUUUGGGCACAGAAUCAGACUGGGAGCAUCACUGAGCUUGCUAGAUAGUUUAAAAUUAGCCCAUCAGUGAACCAUAAUAAUUUUAGUAGUAUAUUGGAGCCUCUUGACUCAGUAAGAUCUAAUACAAGUUCAAUAACCUUCUAAUCAUGAAUAUAUUUCAAGUUAAAUCCACAGUUGAAUUCAAACUAUCCUCGGUACUGUGUUUAACAUUUACAAUCUAAAGGAUGAACCUAGAAACAAAAAUAACAAGAACAGAGUUGAGGGUUAAGUAGUAAAAAACGGAAAACAAGGAUUGUAGUAAAUUACAAAUUAUCAGUGAGCAAACUUACGCUUUCAGGUAAGCAAUAGCCAUGGUCAAUUGGAACCAGCACUGUUUGUCCAUCUUCAUCUUUGCUCAAUAAAAUAUUUCCAGCGUGCCUAUCAGCAUUAGCCAAUCUUAUAUCCAACACAGAGAUUUUAUGUACUUGCUCAACCGGAAAAGACCCAGGACCCAUAUCCUCACAACUUCCAUUGUUUUCCACAAACAUCUGCAAUGACCCAAUCUUGACAAUUGCUAAAUCAUCUGGAUUGUUGAAGCCAGUAUGCAAACACUUGACCAGAGCAGUAGGAAGAACCCCAGCAAAACCCUUCUCCUCACAUCCUUUAGGAUGAUCCAAGAUAUAAGCAGCUACUUCCCUGAAUGCUCCUUCUCCAACUCGUGUACCCUUUUUCAGCCCUUCACCAUCUGGUGACACUGGUAAUUUUCGAGGAUUAUUAACAGCUAAAGGCUCCUCGUCAAUCGGCUUAAAAACAGAAACAAACUUUUGGCCUAAUGAAUCUUGCAUGAAAUAGACUCCUCCAGUACCCUCUACAGACCUGAUUGGAAAAUUUCCAUUGUACAAUCCAUCAAAUGUGGAGUUAAUCAUAUCAACAAUGACCGAAGGUAAUUCAAACUUGGGAUUAACAAUAACAGGCUUUAAUACAAAAUCCCUAUCAGGAGGCUUUCUUGGUUCAACCUCCCUGUCAACUUCAUAUCUUCUACAAGAAUUCUCUUCAUCACCAAGAUCAUAUUCUAGCUUGCGUUUCAAUUCUGGUGCCACAAUAGACAACUCGAAAUUCUUAGCAACAGGCUUAACCCUAACUUUGGCAGAUUUCCGAACCAAUAAAUGCAAUACAGCACUGUUGUGCGUACAUAGAUCAUCAAUAAGCCUCUGAUCCUCUAAUCGCUCCCCAUCACAAACAACUUCGUGGUCAUCAAAAUCAGAAAAACCUUUCUCCCUCUUAGCAAUCUGCUCCUUCACAUAACCAACAUCACGCCCUCGUUCAACAUGAAAGGUAAAUUCUUUCCCAGCUGUAGUCUUAACAUGAAUGACCUGGAGAUCAGAAAGCCUAAGAACUAAGUGUAGAACAUUUCCAUCGUUCACUCCAUAGUCACGAACAAGUGAAUUGCUCCGCGCCAGCUCCCGGCCUCCACAAACCAACUUCUGAUUCUUCACAACAAAACCUUUAAAGGUUUGAAUGCGUAGCUUCAAGGAUUCAAUAGAAUCCGAUUCCAGAACCCGCAUUGGAAUCAUUGAUUCGGAAAGGGCCAGAUAAAUCCAAAUUGAUUCGUUUUCACAAAGACCCAAUUCAGGAUUCAUGUGAUCAGGAGGGAUCAAAGGUUCAUUUCGAACCGGGACAACAGCAAGACCAGCCGAAGACAUGGUUGACUGUGAAAAUUUGAAGAACAAAGAUUUUCCAACACUCUAAAAUUGAAUGCUAAAAAGUCUUAAACUAUCUGUACAGAUCCACAGUAAUUUCCCCCACAUCUUUUUUUUUUACAAUAUAAACAGUACUAUACAAAGAAUAAAAGAAAAAAAAAUCCAAUCCUACAAAAAAUUGAAACCCUAGGAAUCAAAAGCGAAUCCCAGGCUCAAUUCAUCUUGGUUUGCAAGAUUAAAGAUUAGAGAUUGAAUGUACGAAAAGUAUAAUAAUGACAUAAAAAGAAGAGAUUUCUUACCAGAAAGGAGCGAAGAGAAGGGAAGAUGCUUACGUCCAAUUUAGGAAAUUAGUUUAGGUGUGAGAGAGAGAAAAUGGAAUUGCAGAAGAGGAAGACGCGUGUAGCCG
This 3890-nucleotide long non-coding RNA is filed under the name Gossypium raimondii (Peruvian cotton). RNAcentral's name for it is "long non-coding RNA (GRAI_LNC000353)". Lineage: Eukaryota; Viridiplantae; Streptophyta; Magnoliopsida; Malvales; Malvaceae. The record is from RNAcentral.